GGGGAAUAUUGCACAAUGGGCGAAAGCCUGAUGCAGCAACGCCGCGUGAGUGAUGAAGGCCUUCGGGUUGUAAAGCUCUGUCUUCUGGGACGAUAAUGACGGUACCAGAGGAGGAAGCCACGGCUAACUACGUGCCAGCAGCCGCGGUAAUACGUAGGUGGCAAGCGUUGUCCGGAUUUACUGGGCGUAAAGGAUGCGUAGGCGGAUACUUAAGUCAGACGUGAAAAUCCCGGGCUUAACUUGGGAACUGCAUUUGAAACUGGGUAUCUAGAGUGCGGGAGAGGAAAGUGGAAUUCCUAGUGUAGCGGUGAAAUGCGUAGAGAUUAGGAAGAACGCCAGUGGCGAAGGCGACUUUCUGGACCGUAACUGACGCUGAGGCAUGAAAGCGUGGGGAGCAAAC
This 400-nucleotide ribosomal RNA is filed under the name uncultured bacterium. RNAcentral describes it as "bacterial SSU rRNA". It matches the Rfam family "Bacterial small subunit ribosomal RNA", at positions 356 to 773 of the family's 1533-position model. The record is from RNAcentral.